UGAGGAAUAUUGGUCAAUGGUCGCUAGACUGAGCCAGCCAAGUAGCGUGCGGGAUGAAGGCCCUCCGGGUCGUAAACCGCUUUUAGACGGGGAUAAAAGGGCGUACGUGUACGCCGUAUUGCAUGUACCGUCAGAAAAAGGACCGGCUAAUUCCGUGCCAGCAGCCGCGGUAAUACGGAAGGUCCGGGCGUUAUCUGGAUUUAUUGGGUUUAAAGGGAGCGUAGGCGGACUUUCAAGUCAGUGGUAAAAUCGUGUGGCUCAACCAUACCUCGCCAUUGAAACUGGAAGUCUGGAGUGCACACAGGGGUGCCGGAAUUCAUGGUGUAGCGGUGAAAUGCUUAGAUAUCAUGAAGAACUCCGAUCGCGAAGGCAAGUGCCCGGGGUGCAACUGACGCUGAGGCUCGAAGGUGCGGGUAUCGAACAGGAUUAGAUACC
Molecule: ribosomal RNA, 435 nt
Filed under: uncultured bacterium
Lineage: Bacteria
Description: bacterial SSU rRNA
Rfam family: Bacterial small subunit ribosomal RNA
Source: RNAcentral